CCUACGGGAGGCAGCAGUGGGGAAUAUUGCACAAUGGGGGAAACCCUGAUGCAGCGACGCCGCGUGAGUGAAGAAGUAAUUCGUUAUGUAAAGCUCUAUCAGCAGGGAAGAAAAUGACGGUACCUGAGUAAGAAGCCCCGGCUAACUACGUGCCAGCAGCCGCGGUCAUACGUAGGGGGCAAGCGGUAUCCGGAUGUACUGGGUGUAAAGGGAGCGUAGACGGCAGGGCAAGUCUGGAGUGAAAGGCGGGGGCUCAACCCCCGGACUGCUCUGGAAACUGUACGGCUGGAGUGCAGGAGAGGUAAGUGGAAUUCCUAGUGUAGCGGUGAAAUGCGUAGAUAUUAGGAGGAAAACCAGUGGCGAAGGCGGCUUACUGGACUGUAACUGACGUUGAGGCUCGAAAGCGUGGGGAGCAAACAGGAUUAGAUACCCCUGUAGUC
RNAcentral lists this ribosomal RNA (440 nucleotides) under uncultured bacterium. RNAcentral's name for it is "partial 16S ribosomal RNA". It matches the Rfam family "Bacterial small subunit ribosomal RNA", at positions 338 to 795 of the family's 1533-position model. The record is from RNAcentral.